This 253-nucleotide ribosomal RNA is filed under the name uncultured bacterium. Its description in RNAcentral is "partial 16S ribosomal RNA". It matches the Rfam family "Bacterial small subunit ribosomal RNA", at positions 524 to 776 of the family's 1533-position model. The record is from RNAcentral.
UACGUAGGGUGCAAGCGUUGUCCGGAAUUAUUGGGCGUAAAGAGCUCGUAGGCGGUUUGUUGCGUCGGCUGUGAAAUCCCGAGGCUCAACCUCGGGUCUGCAGUCGAUACGAGCAAACUAGAGUGUUGCAGGGGAGACUGGAAUUCCUGGUGUAGCGGUGAAAUGCGCAGAUAUCGGGAGGAACACCGGUGGCGAAGGCGGUUCUCUGGGCCUGUACUGACGCUGAGGAGCGAAAGCGUGGGGAGCAAACAGG